UUUCUUUUGUUCGGAACUCGAAGAUUCGUCCGUUUUCGAUGUUUGGUCAGCGUUGGAACUUUCGCGUUCCGAAGCCAUCUGCAAAAACGAAAUUAUCGAUAAAUUAGAUGAUUCUGACGAUCGAAUCAACCGAAUGAAAUUACCUUUUUGUAUGCCAUUUCGAAUAGUUUCAGUGACGAUUGCUGCAGUGUGCUUGUGGCUUUUCGGAUUUCUUCUGGAUCGACGGCAUCUUUGUUGGCUAAGACUUCGCGAACUUUAGCAA
Long non-coding RNA from Bradysia coprophila, 262 nucleotides. Lineage: Eukaryota; Metazoa; Arthropoda; Insecta; Diptera; Sciaridae. The record is from RefSeq and is a predicted model, not a curated record.